GUAGUCUCGCACAGAUGCAUAUCAAUAAGCGGAGGAAAAGAAACUAACAAGGAUUCCCCUAGUAACGGCGAGUGAAGCGGGAAGAGCUCAAAUUUGAAAUCUUAAAGGGUUUCCCUUUACGAAUUGUAGUUUAAAGAAGUGUUUUCUGUUGAGGUUUUGGUAAAAGUUCUUUGGAAUAGGACAUCAUAGAGGGUGAGAAUCCCGUAUUUGACCUUUACUUUCAACUUUGUGAUACACUUUCAAAGAGUCGGAUUGUUUGGGAAUGCAGUCCAAAAUGGGUGGUAAAUUUCAUCUAAAGCUAAAUAUUGGCGAGAGACCGAUAGCGAACAAGUACCGUGAGGGAAAGAUGAAAAGAACUUUGAAAAGAGAGUUAAACAGUACGUGAAAUUGUCAAAAGGGAAGCGUUUGACACCAGUGUUGUUUUUCUGAAAAUCAAUUAAAGAACUGUUUAUGCUAAGCUGUUUAGACUUUAUCAGCUAACUGUUUAGUUUUGAGCUUUUCUUUAAUGCACUUUUCAGUUAACAAGUCAACAUCAAUUUCUUUUGCUGUAAAAAAGCUUGAGGAAGGUGGCUUGAGAUUCGUCUUAAGUGUUUAUAGCCUCUUGCCUAUGCAGUCGGAGAGAUUGAGGUCUGCAGCGUAGAUCCUUCGGGGCUAAAUGCAUUUGUGCUGAGUUAUAGCAUUUUAUAGACAAUCUUGUUGACUAUGAUUUGUCUUGUAGCUUACUCGCUUAUGUUAUUUUACCUACGCUUAGGAUGUUGAGUAGCGACAUACGCA
Molecule: ribosomal RNA, 774 nt
Filed under: uncultured Neocallimastigales
Lineage: Eukaryota; Fungi; Neocallimastigomycota; Neocallimastigomycetes; Neocallimastigales
Description: partial large subunit ribosomal RNA
Rfam family: Eukaryotic large subunit ribosomal RNA
Source: RNAcentral